This 476-nucleotide ribosomal RNA is filed under the name uncultured bacterium. RNAcentral's name for it is "bacterial SSU rRNA". It matches the Rfam family "Bacterial small subunit ribosomal RNA", at positions 25 to 518 of the family's 1533-position model. The record is from RNAcentral.
CAGGACGAACGCUGGCGGUGUGCCUCAUACAUGCAAGUCGAACGAGAAACUGACUUCGGUCAGUGGAAAGUGGCGGACGGGUGAGUAAUAUGUAGGAAAUCUGCCCUAGAGAGGGGGACAACAGAGGGAAACUUCUGCUAAUACCCCAUAUGAGCUUGGUUGAAAUACCAAUCUUGAAAAACUCCGGUGCUCUAGGAUGAGCCUGCAUCUGAUUAGCUAGUUGGUGGUGUAAUGGACCACAAAGGCGACGAUCAGUAGCUGGUUUGAGAGGAUGAUCAGCCACAAUGGGACUGAGACACGGCCCAUACUCCUACGGGAGGCAGCAGUAGGGAAUUUUGCGCAAUGGGGGAAACCCUGACGCAGUAACACCGCGUGAAUGUUAAGCCCUUCGGGGUAUAAAGUUCUGUCAAUGGGGAAGAAUAAACUGACCUGUACCCAUAACGGUAAGCACCGGCUAACUCCGUGCCAGCAGCCGC